GGGUGAGUAACACGUGGGUAACCUGCCUCAAAGAGGGGGAUAGCCUCCCGAAAGGGAGAUUAAUACCGCAUAACAUURGUUUUUCGCAUGAAGAACUAAUUAAAGGAGUAAUCCGCUUUGAGAUGGACCCGCGGCGCAUUAGCUAGUUGGUGAGGUAAAGGCUCACCAAGGCGACGAUGCGUAGCCGACCUGAGAGGGUGAUCGGCCACAUUGGAACUGAGACACGGUCCAGACUCCUACGGGAGGCAGCAGUGGGGAAUAUUGCACAAUGGGCGAAAGCCUGAUGCAGCAACGCCGCGUGAGUGAUGAAGGCCUUCGGG
Molecule: ribosomal RNA, 320 nt
Filed under: Clostridium magnum
Lineage: Bacteria; Bacillati; Bacillota; Clostridia; Eubacteriales; Clostridiaceae
Description: bacterial SSU rRNA
Rfam family: Bacterial small subunit ribosomal RNA
Source: RNAcentral